This is a long non-coding RNA of Sapajus apella (tufted capuchin), 447 nucleotides long. RefSeq lists it as uncharacterized. The transcript has 2 exons. The record is from RefSeq and is a predicted model, not a curated record. Lineage: Eukaryota; Metazoa; Chordata; Mammalia; Primates; Cebidae.
GGGAAGUGGAGGUUGCAGUGAGCCAAGAUUGUACCACUGCACUCCAGCCUGGGGGACAGUGCAAUACUCAGUCUCAAAAAAAGAAAAAAACUAAAAAAGCCGAGCACAGUGGCUCACGCUUAUUACAGGAGCCACUACAAGUCUCCCAGCAUUUGAGAGGCCAAAUUACAGGCCUCCUAACACUUUGGGAAGCCAAGGCAGGCAGAUCACUUGAGGUCAGGAGCUUGAGACCAGCCUGGUCAAUAUGGUGAAACCCUAUCUCUACUAAAACUACAAAAAUGAGCCAGGCGUGGUGGCGGGUGCCUGUAAUCCCAGCUACUCAGGAGGCUGAGGCAGAGAGAAUUGCUUGAACCUGGGAGGCGGAGAUUACAGUGAACUGCGAUUUACACCACUGCGCUCUAGCCUGGGCGACAGAGCAAGACUCCAUCUCAAAAAAAAAAAAAAAAA